This 253-nucleotide ribosomal RNA is filed under the name uncultured bacterium. RNAcentral's name for it is "partial 16S ribosomal RNA". It matches the Rfam family "Bacterial small subunit ribosomal RNA", at positions 524 to 776 of the family's 1533-position model. The record is from RNAcentral.
UACGAGUGGUGCAAGCGUUGUUCGGAAUCACUGGGCAUAAAGAGCACGUAGGUGGCUUUGCAAGUCAUGGGUGAAAUCCCCCGGCUCAACCGGGGAACUGCCUGUGAGACUGCAGGGCUAGAGGGUGGCAGGGGGAGACGGAAUUCCAGGUGGAGCGGUGAAAUGCGUAGAUAUCUGGAGGAACGCCGGAGGCGAAAGCGGUCUCCUGGGCCACAACUGACGCUGAGGUGCGAAAGCUAGGGGAGCAAACAGG